GAUGAACGCUGGCGGCGUGCCUAAUACAUGCAAGUCGAACGAAACUUCUUUAUCACCGAGUGCUUGCACUCACCGAUAAAGAGUUGAGUGGCGAACGGGUGAGUAACACGUGGGCAACCUGCCCAAAAGAGGGGGAUAACACUUGGAAACAGGUGCUAAUACCGCAUAACCAUAGUUACCGCAUGGUAACUAUGUAAAAGGUGGCUAUACUACCGCUUUUGGAUGGGCCCGCGGCGCAUUAGCUAGUUGGUAGGGUAAAGGCUUACCAAGGGAAUGAUGCGUAGCCGAAUUGAGCGGUUGAUCGGCCACAUUGGGACUGAGACACGGCCCAAACUCCUACGGGAGGCAGCAGUAGGGAAUCUUCCACAAUGGGCGAAAGCCUGAUGGAGCAACGCCGCGUGGGUGAAGAAGGUCUUCGGAUCGUAAAACCCUGUUGUUAGAGAAGAAAGUGCGUGAGAGUAACUGUUCACGUUUCGACGGUAUCUAACCAGAAAGCCACGGCUAACUACGUG
RNAcentral lists this ribosomal RNA (512 nucleotides) under uncultured bacterium. RNAcentral describes it as "partial 16S ribosomal RNA". It matches the Rfam family "Bacterial small subunit ribosomal RNA", at positions 28 to 507 of the family's 1533-position model. The record is from RNAcentral.